Molecule: ribosomal RNA, 286 nt
Filed under: uncultured bacterium
Lineage: Bacteria
Description: partial 16S ribosomal RNA
Rfam family: Bacterial small subunit ribosomal RNA
Source: RNAcentral
CCUACGGGGCGCAGCAGUAGGGAAUCUUCCACAAUGGACGAAAGUCUGAUGGAGCAACGCCGCGUGAGUGAAGAAGGGUUUCGGCUCGUAAAGCUCUGUUGGUAGUGAAGAAAGAUAGAGGUAGUAACUGGCCUUUAUUUGACGGUAAUUACUUAGAAAGUCACGGCUAACUACGUGCCAGCAGCCGCGGUAAUACGUAGGUGGCAAGCGUUGUCCGGAUUUAUUGGGCGUAAAGCGAGUGCAGGCGGUUUCAUAAGGCUUAUGUGCAAGCCGUCGGCUCAAACGG